AGAUGGGCAUUUUGGCCGAGGCACAGUAAAGGUCGGGCAAAUCAUCAGUUCGCGGAUGACAUCUCCCUGGUACUGGUAGGUAUAGCUAGCUGAAUCCCUUGGCCGCGAAUUGACAGCACCAACCUCCACUCCAAGCCCCAAAGCGAAUUGAUAUUACCAACCUCCACUCCAAGCUCCACCGCCGGGAGGAAGAACCCUAGCCGCCCUUCAAGGUCCCUGUUCCCCACGCCGCCUCUGGACGGACCUGCGAAUAAAACUGUGAAUGUUCGCUUACACCUGAUGCCCUCCUACGCACAUAAUGAGGAGUAACUAUUUUUCUACUCUUGAGACUGAAGGUUUAUAACCACUAUUUGAGUGGACUUUUAGUCUGGAGUAGGGGGUAGCUGCACUUGUUUGUAUCCUGAGACAGCAAGUUUGCAGAUAGAACCUUGAACUAGCUCCUCUGUCACCUGUAUCAACUCGAGUGUCCUUGGAGAAGCUCCUGCAAGCAACAUUACCAAUUUGCUUGGAUCCUUUCUCAUGGGAAAUAUUGUCAACACUGUUAGAAGAUUAGUGAAUGUGAUUUCUGAGGGCUUAUCUAGUACAGUAUCACCUAAAGAGAACUGUUCUACAGACGCUGUGGUUGCUAAGGGUUUGGAACGUGGUCCAGCCAGGGAUACACAUAAGAGCAAAGAGUUGAGACCACACAGUGUUCCUUCUGAAAAUAAUUUGUUUCACUGCGACGCUUACGAGAAAUUGAUCAACGGUGAGCUUAAUUUAGGUUGUAGAAGCAGUCCUGAGGCUUCAGAGGACUAUAAAAUGAUACCAAAUGCAGAUAGAGCAGUGUCUGGUCCUUUGGAUGCGAGAGGUUGUGAAAGUACCCCUAAAGCUUUGUUAAGGAGACAAGCUGAGCGGCAAAUAACUAACGAGAAAGCAUCAAUUCAGGCGAUGGUUCCAACUGGAACUUCAGCCUCUCCAGAUGUGAAAGAUCCUAAAACGGUGCUAUCUCCGCUUACCCGCAGUCGCAGUAAGGCUAUGGCUGUUUCCACACCUGAACAUCUCAAACUGAGAAACGCCAGAUCAGGUCAACUAGUAGUUCCACGGUUGGAUUCAGGAAGCCAAAAAAUUAUCUAUGACGUGGCAGAAGUACCUAUCACCCCAUUGGUGGAGCAAAGUUCUGCAGGUAAAGCGUUGCCGAGUACACCAUCACAAAUGAUCAAAACUCCAAUUCCAUAUGGACGAUCUCCACUUCCUCGUAAUAAGGAUAAGGUGUUAUCUGUUGCCACACCCGAAACUCCCAAACUGAGAAGCUCUAGAUCAGGAAAGGGACAUUCUUUUCAGGUCGACUGAUAGUUCCACGUUUGGAUCCAGGAACACAAAAUAUUAUCUAUGACGCGGUUAGUAACCGCAUAACCAUGUCCAUAGAUGUUUGUUUUGGUUUUAUGCAUCUGGGUACAAUUCGGAACCACCUGCUAAGAGGAGGUCUCGGUGUUCAUCCUCCGACCAUGGCAGGUUGCUGCUAUUCUGAUAGGAGAUGUCCUUGAGAUGGUUCAAGGGUUUGUGGUAAACUAUGGAGAUUAUUUUACCCUUCCACAAGAACCAUGAAGCAAAACGUCUGACUUAACAUGUGACUGGUUCAGAUGGAGGGACUCGCCAUCAAAGUUCUCGCGCUGAGCAUUCCCCUGUUGCAAUUACUUGUUGAAUGGAAGAAUGUGGGAAGUAACUUUGAAGAACUUGAAUAAUCUUGGAAGAAUGUGGGAAGUAACUUUGAAGAACUUGAAUGGAAGUGAUCUUUCAUGUUGUUUUUACUAUUACUAUAGUAACUACUCCCUCCGUUCACUAUUAUAAGUUUUUUUUUUGAUCCGGAUGUAUAUAGACGCAUUUUAGUAUGUUUGUUCACUCAUUUCAGUUUGUAUGUAGUCCAUAUCAAAAUAUGCAAAACAUCUUAUAUUUGUGAAUGGAGGGAGUAGAUAAUAUCCCACACCUUGCUGCAGGACUUGAUAGCAAUAUAUAAUCAAUGAGAUUUGGUUACAUGUAACAUGGAUGUUUGGAUUAAUUAUAUUUGAAUUGUGACUGAAAAUA
RNA transcript from Triticum aestivum (bread wheat), 2061 nucleotides. RefSeq lists it as uncharacterized. The transcript is spliced from 9 exons. The record is from RefSeq and is a predicted model, not a curated record. NCBI's taxonomy places the organism in Eukaryota, Viridiplantae, Streptophyta, Magnoliopsida, Poales, Poaceae.